GUACACGCUGUGACUAGCAUAUCAAUAAGCGGAGGAAAAGAAGCUAACAAGGAUUCCCCUAGUAACGGCGAGUGAAGCGGGAAGAGCUCAAAUUUGAAAUCUUAAAGGGUUUCCCUUUACGAAUUGUAGUUUAAAGAAGUGUUUUCUGUUGAGGUUUUGGUAAAAGUUCUUUGGAAUAGGACAUCAUAGAGGGUGAGAAUCCCGUAUUUGACCUUUACUUUCAACUUUGUGAUACACUUUCAAAGAGUCGGAUUGUUUGGGAAUGCAGUCCAAAAUGGGUGGUAAAUUUCAUCUAAAGCUAAAUAUUGGCGAGAGACCGAUAGCGAACAAGUACCGUGAGGGAAAGAUGAAAAGAACUUUGAAAAGAGAGUUAAACAGUACGUGAAAUUGUCAAAAGGGAAGCGUUUGACACCAGUGUUGUUUUUCUGAAAAUCAAUUAAAGAACUGUUUAUGCUAAGUUGUUUAGACUUUAUCAGCUGAUCUGUUUAGUUUUGAGCUUUUCUUUAAUGCACUUUUCAGUUAACAAGUCAACAUCAAUUUCUUUUGCUGUAAAAAAGCUUGAGGAAGGUGGCUUGAGAUUCGUCUUAAGUGUUUAUAGCCUCUUGCCUAUGCAGUCGGAGAGAUUGAGGUCUGCAGCGUAGAUCCUUCGGGGCUAAAUGCAUUUGUGCUAAGUUAUAGCAUUUUAUAGACAACUUGUUGACUAUGAUUUGUCUUGUAGCUUACUCGCUUAUGUUAUUUUACCUACGCUUAGGAUGUUGAUCUACAGAGCGAGAGU
This 775-nucleotide ribosomal RNA is filed under the name uncultured Neocallimastigales. RNAcentral describes it as "partial large subunit ribosomal RNA". It matches the Rfam family "Eukaryotic large subunit ribosomal RNA", at positions 22 to 635 of the family's 3401-position model. The record is from RNAcentral. Lineage: Eukaryota; Fungi; Neocallimastigomycota; Neocallimastigomycetes; Neocallimastigales.